CAGUCAUGUCGGAGAGGGCGCCCGGGCGCCCCUCCGCCGCCGCCCGGCCCCGCCGCCGCAGCCGCAGUGCCGGCGGGAAGGCCCCCUCCGCCAACGCCUCAUGUCGCACUUCCACACAUCGCCGCUACCCCCCCCCCCCCCACCCCGGCCUGCCAGAGCGGGAGCCGGCGGCGGGCGGGCCGGGGCGGCGGGGCUCCCCUCACGGCCCGGCGCUGAGGGCCCGGUGGGGCGGGAAGGGCCGCCGCCCGCGACCGACCGUUCCCUCCGCCGCAGCUGAGGAAAAGGAGGAAGAGGAGGAGGAGAAGGAGGCGGCGGCGGCGGAGGGGAGGGGGGGAGGAAAAAAAAAAAAAAAAACAUGGCGCCGCGUCCUACUUGCGGUGUGGCGCUGCCAGCGCGGGGCCGGGAGCGGCUCGGCGGGGGGGGGGGGGCGCUCGCCGGCCGGCCCCGCUCGCCUCAUUGUGCCCCCCGCGCCCGAACAAUGAGCCCCCGCGAGCCGCGCAGGGCCGGGCCGGGCUGCGCCUCACCGCCCGCCGGGAACGGCGGCGUGUACAGCGGCGGGAGCCCUCCUCCCCCCCCCCCCACCCCCCCCGUCCUCGUCCUCCUCCUCCUCCUCCUCCUCGCCCAGGAGUUUUUAAACUUUAAAGAGCAGGUUACAUCGACCUGCCCGCCUUUGUCCCUCGGACACCGCGCUUGGCCACCGAAAAGCCGCGCGGCCGCGUCCCGCCGCCUUGCCUCCGCCCUGCCCCCAGCGCCCCCCGGAGAGCAUCUGGAGAGAGGGAGAGAGAGAGAAAGGGCGCGUUCAUGAGGACUACAAAGUUACAAAUAUGGCUCCCCAGUCUCUCUUGCCUGAUCACUGCAAAGAAAUGAAGACGCACUUUAAACUAAACCAUUUGCAACUCACUCGCAGUCCCUGUCUGCCUCUCCCUGCCCAGCACCCAGUACAAAUAUUUGCGAACUAAACACGCCAAGAGAGGAGCACCAACUUAUUUUUAUUUAAUGCACGGGCGAGCCCCCUCGAAGGCAUCGCACACCGGCAGAGUCGGGAGCAGCCUCUAGUUUCCCCCUAGACCAUAACGCGUGCGCCUUCGGGCACCCCCAAAUUGGGGUGCACGGCCCCACACGCACAGACACACACACACACACACACACACACACACAGGUAGGCACCUCAAGGGCAGCAGCGGCCCCGCCGCCGCCGCUGCCCCCCGAACCCCGCGGGGUUGGGAUGCCCCCUCCUCUCCCCCCCCCAAAAAAAAAAUGUGGGAUGGAUUUUUAUUAUUAAUUUUUUUUUUUUUUUGCAUUGCUUACAUCUGAGGGCGUCCUGUUCCGCAGCUCUAAGUGGAUCCUUUUCUUCAUGUCCAUGUCCGUGGCUGGCGGGAGUCGCUCGCUGUCCCCGGCUCCGCUCGUGCAGUGACACCGAUGGAGACCCCCCCAAAGCCAGCGCGUGCAGGAUGGAGAUACUUCUUUUACCCGCCUCGUCUGUGGAUAAACUGUAAGGAAUGCAGUUGACAGCUAAGGACAAUUUCUGUUGAGAGUGUGCGAGCUGGGAGAAAGGUCAAGCUGGGUCCAGCUUAAGGUGUGAACAAAGGUGGCCCCAGGGUUGAGGCUUCACAGAGGAAGGUUUGGUCUGGAAUCUGUUUUCAUGGCACAGGUGAAGACCUUUGGAAAAGAACUUUUAUCAUGGAAACAAAGUGACUAUAAGUAUUAACUAAAUCAACAUAAUAUUUUAAAAAAAAAAGUUUCUGAGAGUACAGAGAUACUUUUUCCUUUGUUUUCUCAGAAGAAAAAACGUGUUGUGUGUUCUAAUUAUAUAAAGUUGUAUAAAGUGUCCCCCUCCAACCUAUUGGGGGAAACUUACUCAAAGUUCAAAACCAAAAUUAAAUGUUUAAAACCUGUUGGUUUCCUCUCUGCCCAAUUCGUGUGCAUGGUGCUUGUACUGCAAGGGUUUGAGAAGUCUUGAAAACUCUUUGGAGAAUUGAAAAUGAAUGGAAAUGUUCCACAGGUCAAAUACCUAAGCAUCCUAUCGGAAUGGUAAAUAAAUUCUAAAUAACAUCUUUCCAGAGUACAGCUUUUCUUAAACAAACGGCAACAAGAAAAAUCUGGUCACUGGACUGAUUAAUACUUUUAGGAUAUGAAAAAAUGUAAAUCAGUUUUAAAAAUGGGUAUGAUUAUGCCAUUUCAACUAAGGAUCCGGUUUUGUUCUCUUUGUAAUAGAGGAAGAAACUGUUACAUUUUGAUGAAGCAAUACUAAGUCUUAGUUGAGGAAUUUUUAUGAUGCUUUUGUAUGAAUAAAGCUGUCAACUAA
Molecule: long non-coding RNA, 2305 nt
Organism: Aquila chrysaetos chrysaetos
Lineage: Eukaryota; Metazoa; Chordata; Aves; Accipitriformes; Accipitridae
Exons: 4
Source: RefSeq, a predicted model, not a curated record